RNAcentral lists this ribosomal RNA (599 nucleotides) under Veillonella dispar. Its description in RNAcentral is "bacterial SSU rRNA". It matches the Rfam family "Bacterial small subunit ribosomal RNA", at positions 374 to 964 of the family's 1533-position model. The record is from RNAcentral. Lineage: Bacteria; Bacillati; Bacillota; Negativicutes; Veillonellales; Veillonellaceae.
GACGAAAGUCUGACGGAGCAACGCCGCGUGAGUGAUGACGGCCUUCGGGUUGUAAAGCUCUGUUAAUCGGGACGAAAGGCCUUCUUGCGAAUAGUUAGAAGGAUUGACGGUACCGGAAUAGAAAGCCACGGCUAACUACGUGCCAGCAGCCGCGGUAAUACGUAGGUGGCAAGCGUUGUCCGGAAUUAUUGGGCGUAAAGCGCGCGCAGGCGGAUAGGUCAGUCUGUCUUAAAAGUUCGGGGCUUAACCCCGUGAUGGGAUGGAAACUGCCAAUCUAGAGUAUCGGAGAGGAAAGUGGAAUUCCUAGUGUAGCGGUGAAAUGCGUAGAUAUUAGGAAGAACACCAGUGGCGAAGGCGACUUUCUGGACGAAAACUGACGCUGAGGCGCGAAAGCCAGGGGAGCGAACGGGAUUAGAUACCCCGGUAGUCCUGGCCGUAAACGAUGGGUACUAGGUGUAGGAUGUAUCGACCCCUUCUGUGCCGGAGUUAACGCAAUAAGUACCCCGCCUGGGGAGUACGACCGCAAGGUUGAAACUCAAAGGAAUUGACGGGGGCCCGCACAAGCGGUGGAGUAUGUGGUUUAAUUCGACGCAACGCGA